This 209-nucleotide unclassified non-coding RNA is filed under the name plant metagenome. RNAcentral's name for it is "partial contains small subunit ribosomal RNA, internal transcribed spacer 1, and 5.8S ribosomal RNA". The record is from RNAcentral.
UCUCCGUUGGUGAACCAGCGGAGGGAUCAUUACUGGAAUCGCAAGAUCCCACAACCCUGUGAACCUACCGAAACGUUGCCUCGGCGGGUGCCCGGCCUCUGCGCCGGGCGCUGCGCCCGCCGGCGGCCCCCUACUCUGUCUCUGCAGCGUGGCAUCUCAGAGUCCCAGAAAACAAGUCAAAACUUUCAACAACGGAUCUCUUGGCUCUA